CACAUGCAAGUCGAACGAGAGGACAUGGAAAGCUUGCUUUUAUGGAAUCGAGUGGCAAACGGGUGAGUAACGCGUAAGCAACCUGCCCUGCAGAUGGGGACAACAGCUGGAAACGGCUGCUAAUACCGAAUACGAAGCAGCUCCCGCAUGGGGGCAGCUUGAAAGGAUGGCCUCUGAAUAUGCUAUCGCUGCAGGAGGGGCUUGCGUCUGAUUAGCUGGUUGGAGGGGUAACGGCCCACCAAGGCGACGAUCAGUAGCCGGUCUGAGAGGAUGAACGGCCACAUUGGGACUGAGACACGGCCCAGACUCCUACGGGAGGCAGCAGUGGGGAAUCUUCCGCAAUGGACGAAAGUCUGACGGAGCAACGCCGCGUGAGUGAAGACGGCCUUCGGGUUGUAAAGCUCUGUUAUACGGGACGAACGGGCAGGAUGCUAAUACCAUCCUGUUGUGACGGUACCGUAAGAGAAAGCCACGGCUAACUACGUGCC
Molecule: ribosomal RNA, 488 nt
Filed under: uncultured bacterium
Lineage: Bacteria
Description: bacterial SSU rRNA
Rfam family: Bacterial small subunit ribosomal RNA
Source: RNAcentral